RNAcentral lists this ribosomal RNA (544 nucleotides) under uncultured bacterium. RNAcentral's name for it is "bacterial SSU rRNA". It matches the Rfam family "Bacterial small subunit ribosomal RNA", at positions 774 to 1314 of the family's 1533-position model. The record is from RNAcentral.
AGGUAAUAGAUACCCGGGGUAGUCCAUGCCGUAAACGAUGAUUACUAGGUGUGGGGGGGUCUGACCCCUUCCGUGCCGGAGUUAAACACAAAUAAAGUAAAUCCACCUGGGGAGUACGACCGCAAGGUUGAAACUCAAAGGAAUUGACGGGGGCCCGCACAAGCAGUGGAGUAUGUGGUUUAAUUCGAAGCAAACGCGAAGAACCUUACCAGGUCUUGACAUCUAUCGAAUCCCUAAGAGAUUAGGGCGUGCCCUUCGGGGAACGGUAAGACAGGUGGUGCAUGGUUGUCGUCAGCUCGUGUCGUGAGAUGUUGGGUUAAGUCCCGCAACGAGCGCAACCCUUACUGUUAGUUGCUACGCAAGAGCACUCUAGCAGGACUGCCGUUGACAAAACGGAGGAAGGUGGGGACGACGUCAAAUCAUCAUGCCCCUUAUGACCUGGGCUACACACGUACUACAAUGGUCGUUAACAGAGAAAAGCAGGCCCGCGAGGUGGAGCAAAACUCUAAAAACGGUCUCAGUUCAGAUUGUAGGCUGCAACUCG